Molecule: ribosomal RNA, 450 nt
Filed under: uncultured bacterium
Lineage: Bacteria
Description: bacterial SSU rRNA
Rfam family: Bacterial small subunit ribosomal RNA
Source: RNAcentral
AACGAACGCUGGCGGCAGGCCUAACACAUGCAAGUCGAGCGAGAUCUUCGGAUCUAGCGGCGGACGGGUGAGUAACGCGUGGGAACGUGCCCUUCUCUACGGAAUAGCCUCGGGAAACUGGGAGUAAUACCGUAUACGCCCUUUGGGGGAAAGAUUUAUCGGAGAAGGAUCGGCCCGCGUUGGAUUAGGUAGUUGGUGGGGUAAUGGCCUACCAAGCCUACGAUCCAUAGCUGGUUUGAGAGGAUGAUCAGCCACACUGGGACUGAGACACGGCCCAGACUCCUACGGGAGGCAGCAGUGGGGAAUCUUAGACAAUGGGGGCAACCCUGAUCUAGCCAUGCCGCGUGAGUGAUGAAGGCCUUAGGGUUGUAAAGCUCUUUCAGCUGGGAAGAUAAUGACGGUACCAGCAGAAGAAGCCCCGGCUAACUCCGUGCCAGCAGCCGCGGUAAU